This 449-nucleotide ribosomal RNA is filed under the name uncultured bacterium. Its description in RNAcentral is "partial 16S ribosomal RNA". It matches the Rfam family "Bacterial small subunit ribosomal RNA", at positions 29 to 523 of the family's 1533-position model. The record is from RNAcentral.
AACGAACGCUGGCGGCAGGCCUAACACAUGCAAGUCGAACGCCCUAGCAAUAGGGAGUGGCAGACGGGUGAGUAACACGUGGGAACGUGCCCUUCGGUUCGGAAUAACUCAGGGAAACUUGAGCUAAUACCGGAUACGUGCGAGAGCAGAAAGAUUUAUCGCCGAAGGAUCGGCCCGCGUCCGAUUAGCUAGUUGGUGAGGUAAUGGCUCACCAAGGCGACGAUCGGUAGCUGGUCUGAGAGGAUGACCGGCCACACUGGGACUGAGACACGGCCCAGACUCCUACGGGAGGCAGCAGUGGGGAAUAUUGGACAAUGGGCGCAAGCCUGAUCCAGCCAUGCCGCGUGAGUGAUGAAGGCCCUAGGGUUGUAAAGCUCUUUCGCCAGGGACGAUAAUGACGGUACCUGGAUAAGAAGCCCCGGCUAACUCCGUGCCAGCAGCCGCCGUAA